This 795-nucleotide long non-coding RNA is filed under the name Gallus gallus (chicken). RNAcentral's name for it is "lncRNA (ENSGALG00010015727.1)". The record is from RNAcentral. Lineage: Eukaryota; Metazoa; Chordata; Aves; Galliformes; Phasianidae.
GUUGACUAUUAUGUAACAGAUGGCCUGACAGACCUCCGACUCUUUGCAGUGAUGGCUAGCUUGGCGUAGAAAAUAGCAGCACUGGAGUAAGCAUUCAGCGGCAUAGACGCUCAUGAAUUUUAACUCCUCGGUGACAAAGGAAUUCAAGGGGCCAUCACCAGAAGGUUCAUCUCAUCAACUCUUGUUACUGAAACAGCAUCUUCCAUGGCCAAGAAUUGAACACUGCAACUUAGUGAACUUCCUCUAUCGUGUCCAGACAAUAUGGAGUGCUUUUCCUGAAUUACAUGUUCAUCAAGAAUCACAACUGCAUUCACCUGACAGUUAGGAUUACAGUAUCAUAUCGGCCAGGCCAUCACUUCUGCAAUCUUCACCAGCAAAGGAGGCAGAUAUUCUGUGGCUUCGUACUGGGGCACCUUGGAACACACUUUCUGUGGUUUGUUUGGCCCUGCUGAACAUGACAAACUGGACAUAAGAAGGCAUUAUAAGUACUGGGUGAAUGCUCAUGUCUUUGCUGCCCAUUGGAACAGUGUUAAAAUAAAGCUCCUUUUGACACGCUUAGGUGUAAACAUCGUUUCCAGGUAGGAAAGUGUUCUGAAGAUUUUUAAGCCAGGUGAUUUUAAAAAUGCUCCCUUUGAAACAAAAGGACCUCAGCAGGGAUUUUGGCUGAUGCAUUUGUGAGGCAAAGGGGAAUAUAUCAGCAUGACUUAGCCUCUGGCUCCCGAGGAUGGUUUCACGCGUGGGAAAUGCGGCUGCGAGAGCACCGGCCAAGGCGCGCUGAUGCGGGCGCUGUCCGUG